CUUUAUCCUGUUUGGUGGGGAGGCACUUUCAGAGGCUUCUUAUGGAGUGGUGGUUGAUCAUGGAGUCAUCAGCAUGUAACCGACAGUAAGAGGCGUACGCAUAUGGGCGGCUAUGAUGAACCCCCGUGCGAAUCAAUUCCGUGGAAACAAAUGUGGGGAUGGAGGAAAAAGUUGGUGAGACCUCUGCUCUGCCCUACUCUUCCUGCAACCAGAGGCACUGAUGAUUUUGCUGCUUCUUGUCAUCUUGUUACUUAUGCAUGCGGUUUUGUACCCAGGUUUGAUUACUUCUAUUUUCA
Long non-coding RNA from Hordeum vulgare subsp. vulgare (domesticated barley), 296 nucleotides. RefSeq lists it as uncharacterized. The transcript has 2 exons. NCBI's taxonomy places the organism in Eukaryota, Viridiplantae, Streptophyta, Magnoliopsida, Poales, Poaceae. The record is from RefSeq and is a predicted model, not a curated record.